GCCGAGGUGGCGGAAUUGGUAAACGCGCGACACUUAAGAUGUCGUGAUCGCAAGAUCAUGAGGGUUCGAGUCCCUCCCUCGGUA
Molecule: transfer RNA, 84 nt
Filed under: Candidatus Kaiserbacteria bacterium
Lineage: Bacteria; Candidatus Kaiseribacteriota
Description: tRNA-Leu
Rfam family: tRNA
About the family: Transfer RNA (tRNA) molecules are approximately 80 nucleotides in length.
Source: RNAcentral